RNAcentral lists this ribosomal RNA (938 nucleotides) under Rhizopus arrhizus. RNAcentral's name for it is "LSU rRNA". It matches the Rfam family "Eukaryotic large subunit ribosomal RNA", at positions 88 to 960 of the family's 3401-position model. Lineage: Eukaryota; Fungi; Mucoromycota; Mucoromycetes; Mucorales; Rhizopodaceae. The record is from RNAcentral.
GGCGAGUGAAGAGGAAAGAGCUCAAAGUUGGAACCUGUUUGGCCUAGCUAAACCGGAUUGUAGACUGUAGAAGUGUUUUCCAGGCAAGCCGAGUAAAUAAGUCCUUUGGAACAGGGCAUCAUAGAGGGUGAGAAUCCCGUCUUUGGCUUGAGCAUUUGCCUUUUGUGAUACGCUUUCAAAGAGUCAGGUUGUUUGGGAAUGCAGCCUAAAUUGGGUGGUAAAUCUCACCUAAAGCUAAAUAUUGGCGAGAAACCGAUAGCGAACAAGUACCGUGAGGGAAAGAUGAAAAGAACUUUGAAAAGAGAGUUAAACAGUAUGUGAAAUUGUUAAAAGGGAACCGUUUGGAGCCAGACUGGCUUGUCUGUAAUCAAUCUAGGCUUCGGCCUGGAUGCACUUGCAGGCUAUGCCUGCCAACGACAAUUUGACUUGAGGGAAAAAACUAAGGGAAAUGUGGCCCACUUGUGGGUGUUAUAGUCCCUUAGAAAAUACCUUGGGUUGGAUUGAGGAACGCAGCGAAUGCUUUUUGGCGAGUUUUCCAGGAAGGUUUUCUGAGGUACUACGGUAUCAAGGUUGAUCUUUUUGGUUAUACUUCUAUUCGCUUAGGUUGUUGGCUUAAUGACUCUAAAUGACCCGUCUUGAAACACGGACCAAGGAGUCCACCAUUAGUGCGAGUAUUUGGGUGCCAAACCCAUAUGCGUAAGGAAACUGAUUGAUACGAAUCCAUUAAGGAGGCAGUAUCGUCCGGCGCUGACGUUUUAUACUGAAUUGACCGAGACAAAGCACUAAUGAUGGGACCCGAAAGAUGGUGAACUAUGCCUGAAUAGGUGAAGCCAGAGGAAACUCUGGUGGAGGCUCGUAGCGAUUCUGACGUGCAAUCGAUCGUCAAAUUUGGGUAUAGGGGCGAAAGACUAAUCGAACCAUCUAGUAGCUGGUCUGCG